This 515-nucleotide ribosomal RNA is filed under the name uncultured bacterium. RNAcentral's name for it is "partial 16S ribosomal RNA". It matches the Rfam family "Bacterial small subunit ribosomal RNA", at positions 28 to 523 of the family's 1533-position model. The record is from RNAcentral.
GAUGAACGCUGGCGGCGUGCCUAAUACAUGCAAGUCGAGCGAAUGGAUUAAGAGCUUGCUCUUAUGAAGUUAGCGGCGGACGGGUGAGUAACACGUGGGUAACCUGCCCAUAAGACUGGGAUAACUCCGGGAAACCGGGGCUAAUACCGGAUAACAUUUUGAACCGCAUGGUUCGAAAUUGAAAGGCGGCUUCGGCUGUCACUUAUGGAUGGACCCGCGUCGCAUUAGCUAGUUGGUGAGGUAACGUCUCACCAAGGCAACGAUGCGUAGCCGACCGGAGGGGGUGGUGGGCCACACCGGGAAUGAGACACGGCCCAGACUCCUACGGGAGGCAGCAGUAGGGAAUCUUCCGCAAUGGACGAAAGUCUGACGGAGCAACGCCGCGUGAGUGAUGAAGGCUUUCGGGUCGUAAAACUCUGCUGUUAGGGAAGAACAAGUGCUAGUUGAAUAAGCUGGCACCUUGACGGUACCUAACCAGAAAGCCACGGCUAACUACGUGCCAGCAGCCGCCGUAA